CGGGGGUUUAUUGUAAGUUGGCUGGGUAAGCCUACGAAGUGCCCGAAGAACGAGGCUGGUGUGAAUUUUUUAUAUAGAAUUGGAGUUUAGGGGUGGAGUUCUUUUCUCGUAGCCUCCUUCAAUAGAGUUUAGUAGGGCAUUGAUUGGCAUUUGAGAUGACAGCUACGUGCUUCUUUUAUUCUUGGGGUCUAUGGAGGAGUUCAAAGAAAC
Molecule: long non-coding RNA, 210 nt
Filed under: Phoenix dactylifera (date palm)
Lineage: Eukaryota; Viridiplantae; Streptophyta; Magnoliopsida; Arecales; Arecaceae
Description: long non-coding RNA (PDAC_LNC003109)
Source: RNAcentral